UAUUUGCUGCCACCGGGUAGCACAAUAAGCAUUUGCGCGCGUGUCGUUAGGUCUUGGAAGAUACGCCUGCAAAUGCUUAUUUUUU
RNAcentral lists this non-coding RNA (85 nucleotides) under unclassified sequences. The record is from RNAcentral.